UUUCCGUAGGUGAACCUGCGGAAGGAUCAUUAUUGAAUAACCGAGGUGCGAGGGCUGUCGCUGACCCGAAAGGUCGUGCACGCCCGAGUGCCCUCACACACAUCCAUCUCACCCCUAUGUGCACCAGCGCGUGGGUCCCCCUUUGGCUUGUUCGGAGCGCUGCUUACGUUUUCACACAAACUUUGUAUGCAGUGUAGAAUGUAUUUUUUGUUUUUGCGAUCACGCAAUCAAUACAACUUUCAACAACGGAUCUCUUGGCUCUC
This 263-nucleotide unclassified non-coding RNA is filed under the name plant metagenome. Its description in RNAcentral is "partial contains small subunit ribosomal RNA, internal transcribed spacer 1, and 5.8S ribosomal RNA". The record is from RNAcentral.